Molecule: ribosomal RNA, 391 nt
Filed under: Chrysophyceae sp.
Lineage: Eukaryota; Chrysophyceae
Description: partial small subunit ribosomal RNA
Rfam family: Eukaryotic small subunit ribosomal RNA
Source: RNAcentral
AUUCCAGCUCCAAUGGCGUAUACUAAAGUUGUUGCAGUUAAAAAGCUCGUAGUUGAAUUUCUGGGUGUGAUAGGCGGUCCGUGUGCAUAACAUGUGUACCUCCCUCUCAUGCCCAUCCUCGAAGUGAAUAUGCAUUGCCUUAACUGUGUCGUGUAUAGGACCUUCGUCAUUUACUGUGAGCAAAAUAGAGUGUUCAAAGCAGGCUUAUGCCGUUGAAUAUAUUAGCAUGGAAUAAUAAGAUAUGACUUCUGUCUAUUUUGUUGGUUUGCAUUCGGAAGUAAUGAUUAAUAGGGAUAGUUGGGGGUUUUCGUAUUCAAUUGUCAGAGGUGGAAUUCUUGGAUUUGUUAAAGACGGACUACUGCGAAAGCAUUUGCCAAGGAUGUUUUCAUUA